CCUACGGGUGGCAGCAGUGAGGAAUAUUGGUCAAUGGGCGCGAGCCUGAACCAGCCAAGUAGCGUGAAGGAUGACGGCUCUCCGGUUUGUAAACUUCUUUUAUAUGGGAAUAAAGUGAGGCACGUGUUCCUUUUUGUAUGUACAAUAUGAAUAAGCAUCGGCUAACUCCGUGCCAGCAGCCGCGGUAAUACGGAGGAUGCGAGCGUUAUCCGGAUUUAUUGGGUUUAAAGGGUGCGUAGGUGGGUAAUUAAGUCAGCGGUGAAAGGUUGUGGCUCAACCAUAAAAUUGCAGUUGAAACUGGAUGACUUGAGUAUAUUUGAGGUAGGCGGAAUGCGUGGUGUAGCGGUGAAAUGCUUAGAUAUCACGCAGAACUCCGAUUGCGAAGGCAGCUUACUAAACUGUAACUGACACUGAAGCUCGAAAGCGUGGGUAUCAAACAGGAUUAGAUACCCGAGUAGUC
RNAcentral lists this ribosomal RNA (460 nucleotides) under uncultured bacterium. RNAcentral describes it as "partial 16S ribosomal RNA". It matches the Rfam family "Bacterial small subunit ribosomal RNA", at positions 338 to 795 of the family's 1533-position model. The record is from RNAcentral.